UCUAAGCAAAGCCUUUCUUAAAACAAGGCAGAAUAUCGAUUGUGGGACAACACCCCACCCCUCUACAAAAGCUUUGCACCCUAGAUUACAGCAGCCUUCCAAUCUAAAAGAAUGGAAGAAAGACUGUAAUCUUUGAAUGCCUUUGAAACAGAAGCCCAGAGAGCUGCCGUAUAAUCUACUCUCUCCAUAGCUCCUCCACCCCUACUCCCCAGUAGCCUUCAAAGAUUAUUUUGUUUCUUUCCAUCCACAGCACCCAAAUGACACCUAGUUCACUUCAUCCCCAGAAAACCUUGGCUUUCUUCUCCCUUAAAUAAAUUCUUCCAGAGACUAUUAGAGGUAUUAGUCAUCCACAUUAUGCGAUGGGAUCCAAAUUCAAAUCCCCUUUCUUUUAACCUUGGCUUUCUUCUUGGCCCGCCGCUGCCCCGAAAGCUGGAUCGAAGACACCCAGACGAGCGAAACCGACCCGGCCGGAAAACGUCGACGCCGGCGUUGCACGGGCCGAUCCUUCCCAUUUUCGUGAUCUCCUCUUCCCCCUGAUCAUCCCCAUAUAAGUCUUUCAUCACGAUUUUGAGUGUAGAACACUAGAUCAAGGUUUGACUUUUACGACGUCCCUGAUUUAAUAUGAAAUCUGAUCGGACGCACAGGAAUAAUCCGACUUCCAAGCUUGAUCUAGAACGAUCUAGGCCAAACCAGACUUAGCUCCAGGUGAUCGAUGGAUUGAUUUGGUGGACGAUUCGGAUUGAUAUAAUUGGCUUUUUAGAAGACGCAGCUGGAUUAGAGCGGGUAAUCUCACAGGUCAGGAGAAUCAGAGCAGUGAUCGUGCGGUUUAGAGUAUUAGUAUUAGAUUUACAGCAUUUGUUUUGUGAGGAGAAUUAUACUCAUUUGAGUUUUACUAUUUGAUUUGGUGAGAGUGUGCUGUAAUAAGUAGCUUGAGGAUUUGGUUUAUGUAAUAUCAAGAGGUGUAACUAGUGGUUGUUUCUGAGAGAAAAAUUCAGAACGUUAUUUGUAUUGUUAUUAGUCAUGUUCCGGAUUUGAAUCCUUUAUUCAAAAUUCGGGGUGUG
Molecule: long non-coding RNA, 1061 nt
Organism: Rosa rugosa (rugosa rose)
Lineage: Eukaryota; Viridiplantae; Streptophyta; Magnoliopsida; Rosales; Rosaceae
Exons: 3
Source: RefSeq, a predicted model, not a curated record